RNAcentral lists this ribosomal RNA (1185 nucleotides) under Triticum aestivum (bread wheat). Its description in RNAcentral is "partial small subunit ribosomal RNA". The stretch from base 562 to 700 matches the Rfam family "Small nucleolar RNA Z247". The record is from RNAcentral. Lineage: Eukaryota; Viridiplantae; Streptophyta; Magnoliopsida; Poales; Poaceae.
AUGACUGGCACCAACCCUGCUGCUUCCCUCUCCGGCACCGCCGGCACCCUCACCACCCUCAACGCCGGCACCCUGUCCGCCGGUUCCUCCACUUCCGCUCCGAUCUCGGUCACCUCGCUCGGUAGCCUGAUCACUCUGCGCCUUACGCGCGAUAACUUCCUGCUAUGGAAGACCCAAGCCGUCCCCGCCCUCGCUGCAAACGGCCUGUUCGGCUAUGUUGCCGGCACCGCCGCAGCCCCGCCGCACACCAUCAAGGAAGGAACCGGUGAUGCGGCUGUUGAUGUGGCCAAUCCGGAGUUUCUUCGCUGGUACCAGCAGGACCAGCUCGUCAUGAUCGCCCUCCUCGGCUCCAUGACCGAGGACAUCCUCGGGCAGAUGACCCAGCUGACGACCUCCGCCGCUGUUUGGACUGCACUGCACGACAUGUUCGCCUCGCAGAAUCGUGCCCGCAUCAUGCAGCUCAGGUAUCAACUUUCCAACCUGAAGAAGAAGGACCUCUCUGCCUCUGACUACUACCGCAAGAUGAAGGGGUUCGCUGAUGCGAUGGCGUCCAUUGGCAAGCCCCUCACUGACGAUGAAGUGCUCGGCUACAUGCUCGCUGGGUUGGGCUCCGAGUUCGAGCCACUCAUCGCGUCGAUCACGGCGCGAGAUGAUCCAGUAAGUCUCAGCAGCUUCUAUGCGUAUCUCCUUAGUGCUGAACUUCGCCUGGAGCAGCAAAAUUCGUCAGGUGAAAUCCAUCCCUCCGCCAACACCGCUGCUCGUGCCAAUGAUCGCGGCGGCAAUGGUGCACGCGGCGGACAUGGCGGUCAAGGCGGCGGACAUGGCGGACAAGGCGGCGGACAGGGGCGCGGUCGCGGCGGGCGUGGCCGCGGCAACGGCCGCUCCAACCUGAAGUGUCAGGUGUGCAGCAAGUUUGGCCAUGACGCCCUUCACUGCCGCAAUCGUUUCAACCAUGCAUUCCAGCCCGACGAGCAGCGCGAGCGCUCCGGCAACUCCGUCAACACCAACACCGGCUCCGCGGGGUACACCGUGGACAUGGACUGGUACGCUGACACAGGUGCGACCGACCACCUGACCAGCGACCUCGACCGUCUCGGCAUCCACGAGCGCUACGGCGGCAAGGACAAGGUGCAUGCUGCAAACGGGGCAGGACCGAGCAACCAAGACAGUUCUUCUUCGCGGUAG